Molecule: ribosomal RNA, 497 nt
Filed under: uncultured bacterium
Lineage: Bacteria
Description: partial 16S ribosomal RNA
Rfam family: Bacterial small subunit ribosomal RNA
Source: RNAcentral
GAUGAACGCUGGCGGCGUGCCUAAUACAUGCAAGUCGAGCGAACAGACGAGGAGCUUGCUCCUCUGACGUUAGCGGCGGACGGGUGAGUAACACGUGGAUAACCUACCUAUAAGACUGGGAUAACUUCGGGAAACCGGAGCUAAUACCGGAUAAUAUAUUGAACCGCAUGGUUCAAUAGUGAAAGACGGUUUUGCUGUCACUUAUAGAUGGAUCCGCGCCGCAUUAUCUAGUUGGUAAGGUAACGGCUUACCAAGGCAACGAUGCGUAGCCGACCUGAGAGGGUGAUCGGCCACACUGGAACUGAGACACGGUCCAGACUCCUACGGGAGGCAGCAGUAGGGAAUCUUCCGCAAUGGGCGAAAGCCUGACGGAGCAACGCCGCGUGAGUGAUGAAGGUCUUCGGAUCGUAAAACUCUGUUAUUAGGGAAGAAAAAAUGUGUAAGUAACUAUGCACGUCUUGACGGUAACUAAUCAGAAAGCCACGGCUAACUACGUG